This 497-nucleotide ribosomal RNA is filed under the name uncultured bacterium. RNAcentral's name for it is "partial 16S ribosomal RNA". It matches the Rfam family "Bacterial small subunit ribosomal RNA", at positions 28 to 507 of the family's 1533-position model. The record is from RNAcentral.
GAUGAACGCUGGCGGCGUGCCUAAUACAUGCAAGUCGAGCGAACAGACGAGGAGCUUGCUCCUCUGACGUUAGCGGCGGACGGGUGAGUAACACGUCGAUAACCUACCUAUAAGACUGGGAUAACUUCGGGAAACCGGAGCUAAUACCGGAUAAUAUAUUGAACCGCAUGGUUCAAUAGUGAAAGACGGUUUUGCUGUCACUUAUAGAUGGAUCCGCGCCGCAUUAGCUAGUUGGUAAGGUAACGGCUUACCAAGGCAACGAUGCGUAGCCGACCUGAGAGGGUGAUCGGCCACACUGGAACUGAGACACGGUCCAGACUCCUACGGGAGGCAGCAGUAGGGAAUCUUCCGCAAUGGGCGAAAGCUUGACGGAGCAACGCCGCGUGAGUGAUGAAGGUCUUCGGAUCGUAAAACUCUGUUAUUAGGGAAGAACAAAUGUGUAAGUAACUAUGCACGUCUUGACGGUACCUAAUCAGAAAGCCACGGCUAACUACGUG